AUUGAACGCUGGCGGCAUGCUUUACACAUGCAAGUCGAACGGUAGAGGGGGCAACCCCUUGAGAGUGGCGAACGGGUGAGUAAUGCAUCGGAACGUGCCCAGUCGUGGGGGAUAACGCAGCGAAAGCUGUGCUAAUACCGCAUACGAUCUCUGGAUGAAAGCGGGGGACCGAAAGGCCUCGCGCGAUUGGAGCGGCCGAUGGCAGAUUAGGUAGUUGGUGGGGUAAAGGCCUACCAAGCCAACGAUCUGUAGCUGGUCUGAGAGGACGACCACCCACACUGGGACUGAGACACGGCCCAGACUCCUACGGGAGGCAGCAGGGGGGAAUUUUGGACAAUGGGCGCAAGCCUGAUCCAGCAAUGCCGCGUGCAGGAAGAAGGCCUUCGGGUUGUAAACUGCUUUUGUACGGAACGAAACGGUCUGGGUUAAUACCCUGGGCUAAUGACGGUACCGUAAGAAUAAGCACCGGCUAACUACGUGCCAGCCGCCGCCGUAA
RNAcentral lists this ribosomal RNA (496 nucleotides) under uncultured bacterium. Its description in RNAcentral is "partial 16S ribosomal RNA". It matches the Rfam family "Bacterial small subunit ribosomal RNA", at positions 29 to 523 of the family's 1533-position model. The record is from RNAcentral.